CACGUAGGGGGCGAGCGUUGUCCGGAUUUAUUGGGCGUAAAGAGCUCGUAGGCGGCUCAGUAAGUCAGGUGUGAAAACUCCAGGCUCAACCUGGAGACGCCACUUGAUACUGCUGUGGCUAGAGUCCGGUAGGGGAGCAUGGAAUUCCUGGUGUAGCGGUGAAAUGCGUAGAUAUUUGGAGGAACACCAGUGGCGAAAGCGGCUUUCUGGGACAUUCCUGACGCUGAGGUUCGAAAGCUCGGGGAGCAAACAGG
Molecule: ribosomal RNA, 254 nt
Filed under: uncultured bacterium
Lineage: Bacteria
Description: partial 16S ribosomal RNA
Rfam family: Bacterial small subunit ribosomal RNA
Source: RNAcentral